This 751-nucleotide ribosomal RNA is filed under the name Lentilactobacillus parabuchneri. RNAcentral's name for it is "bacterial SSU rRNA". It matches the Rfam family "Bacterial small subunit ribosomal RNA", at positions 48 to 755 of the family's 1533-position model. Lineage: Bacteria; Bacillati; Bacillota; Bacilli; Lactobacillales; Lactobacillaceae. The record is from RNAcentral.
CUAAUACAUGCAAGUCGAACGCGUCUUGGUUAUUGAUGUUAGAUGCUUGCAUUUAACUGAUUUAACAUUGAGACGAGUGGCGAACUGGUGAGUAACACGUGGGUAACCUGCCCUUGAAGUAGGGGAUAACACUUGGAAACAGGUGCUAAUACCGUAUAACAACCAAAACCACCUGGUUUUGGUUUAAAAGAUGGCUUCGGCUAUCACUUUAGGAUGGACCCGCGGCGUAUUAGCUUGUUGGUAAGGUAACGGCCUACCAAGGCAAUGAUACGUAGCCGACCUGAGAGGGUAAUCGGCCACAUUGGGACUGAGACACGGCCCAAACUCCUACGGGAGGCAGCAGUAGGGAAUCUUCCACAAUGGACGAAAGUCUGAUGGAGCAACGCCGCGUGAGUGAUGAAGGGUUUCGGCUCGUAAAACUCUGUUGUUGGAGAAGAACAGGUGUGAGAGUAACUGUUCACAUCUUGACGGUAUCCAACCAGAAAGCCACGGCUAACUACGUGCCAGCAGCCGCGGUAAUACGUAGGUGGCAAGCGUUGUCCGGAUUUAUUGGGCGUAAAGCGAGCGCAGGCGGUUUCUUAGGUCUGAUGUGAAAGCCUUCGGCUUAACCGGAGAAGUGCAUCGGAAACCAGGAGACUUGAGUGCAGAAGAGGACAGUGGAACUCCAUGUGUAGCGGUGAAAUGCGUAGAUAUAUGGAAGAACACCAGUGGCGAAGGCGGCUGUCUGGUCUGUAACUGACGCUGAGGCUCG